UACAGAGGUCUCGAGCGUUGUUCGGAUUCAUUGGGCGUAAAGGGUGCGUAGGCGGCGGGGCAAGUCUGAUGUGAAAUCCCGGGGCUCAACUCCGGAACUGCAUUGGAUACUGCCGUGCUUGAGGACUGGAGAGGAGACUGGAAUUUACGGUGUAGCGGUGAAAUGCGUAGAUAUCGUAAGGAAGACCAGUGGCGAAGGCGGGUCUCUGGACAGUUCCUGACGCUGAGGCACGAAGGCCAGGGGAGCAAACGGG
Molecule: ribosomal RNA, 253 nt
Filed under: uncultured bacterium
Lineage: Bacteria
Description: partial 16S ribosomal RNA
Rfam family: Bacterial small subunit ribosomal RNA
Source: RNAcentral